AGUGAAAGGGAAUAGUCAGUUCCUUCCUACAAAUUCAUCAUGUGGUAUCUUUACAGAGGGAUUUUCUGUUUCAGGAAAAUAAUAAGGGUAGAGAAGGAAAUUGCUAAGGAUGACCUAGGUCAACACAGAGAAAGACUAUCCAGGUAUGUGCUAGUAAAAUAUGGGAGCAGGCUCUGCGAGGAAUAUUCUCAGCUUUAAUAGAUGGUGGAGUGUAGAUGAUUCUCGGUAAGUGUGCUCGCGACACUAAACUGGGGGUUUGGAUCGUAGCUUAAAAUAACAGAAUCACUUCAUAAAAAGUAUUUUCCUAAAGAAAGAAUACUUUGAGAAAUGUGAAUGGGAAGAAAGAAGUGUGGAGUCGGGCUAAUGUUUGCAGUAAUCCUUUUUAUUUAUUUUUUUCUUUCCUUACAGAAUAAAAUAUUCCUGUGGAUGGUCUUUCUAAGGGUCUCGGUUGUCUCGUUCCUUUCCCAGGAUUCUUGGACUAAAACACGAAAACAAACAAGCAAACAAAAGCUCGUCAGCUGGGUCCACUCUGUUAAACUGAGGUUGGAAGAGGUGAUCCAAGUUUCCAGAUGCGCUGUUAUGAAAAGGAAGAGGAAGGCGCCGAACCACACAUGCUCAGAUCCUUCUCCUAAACCUUCCGUAUCAUGAGUGGAGUGGGAUGACCUUUCAAUGGAGGAAGCUCCUGACUUUGAGGGGUCUGGGAAAGAAUGGCAAUGUGUUACCACCCAUACUUGUUCCUGUUCGUCUCCUUCAGAAACGUACAUUAUAUUUUCAAGUACAUGAAGAACAGAAGUUUUGUUAAAACUUACAAUUGAAACUCAGUGUGACAACUAUGUAAGUCCCCAGUGGUGAAUAUAUAAACGAC
RNAcentral lists this long non-coding RNA (865 nucleotides) under Felis catus (domestic cat). RNAcentral describes it as "lncRNA (ENSFCAG00000045442.2)". The record is from RNAcentral. Lineage: Eukaryota; Metazoa; Chordata; Mammalia; Carnivora; Felidae.